Molecule: non-coding RNA, 2952 nt
Organism: Anas platyrhynchos (mallard)
Lineage: Eukaryota; Metazoa; Chordata; Aves; Anseriformes; Anatidae
Source: RefSeq, a predicted model, not a curated record
ACAAGAUUAUCACUAAUAAUCUAAAAGUAAAAUAAAUGUUUAAAUACUUGCUGGGGAAAAUAUUAAUUUAGAGAUUCCUUUGUGUAUGAUUAGAAUGAUUAGAAUCCUCAGACAGCUUUUUUUUUUUUUUUUUUUUUUUAAGACAAACAUCUUUUCAAGGAAAGGAAAUGAUAAAGAUGUUUAUGUGUUGGCCUCAGAUAAGAUGGUAAUGGAUACAGUUGCCAAUCAAACCAACAGAAAGUGUUCUUGUACCUUAAGCAUAUUUUCCUUUGUAACUCUCCCUUUCCCUCCUCCCUGCCCCCCAAAAAAAGUUUUUUUUGAAUUUGUUUUUAAAUUAAGUAUGCUUAUGACUGAAUUGAUACAAACAUGCACUACAGACAUGAACAGAGUCAUGUAGGUUUCUUCUACAUCAACAUUCAGGAAGGGAACAAUUCACCUCUGUUCUUCUGCUACCACGCUACAUACUGAGCUUGUAUUUUCUGGCAGAAGGAUGAAAUACAAUUGCAUCACCUCUCAUUGCCACAAAGCUGCAGCCUAAAGACAUGUGGUACCUAUUAAACACAGUCAAAACUAUUGAGAAAGUCAGAAGCAAACACAUCUGACCAGUAUAACAUUUAACAAUUAUCAAUACCUAAGGAAAAAAGACCUAAUGGCUUUAUUUAACAACGGUUCUGAAAAAAAAAAAAACUGGUUCAGUGGACAGAAUGCCUUCUUCAAUCAAUGCUUCCUUACUUGUAAAGACAAGGUAUUUGUUGUUUCUAAAGUGUUUCUAUCAGAUCUAUGCCAGUCAUGAUCAUCCCUGGUUUGGGUAUCUGACUAAGCCUGGUUUGGAUGAAGAGCUGGCUGCAUACAUGAGCCACCAAUGCAGCUGUGGUGGUUCUUGGCUGCAAUGAAAGCAUCUACUUGCUUCUAUGUUUCUUAACUGGGAUCUUCUGUGUGCAACAACUGUUAUUGUAGGCCUUUUAUUCCUCUUAAGUUUUCAGUGGAGGCUCUUGCUGUCUAAUUUUACAUGUGUUUUGUGUUAGUCAUUUGCAAUUACCUAGGUUACCCCCAUCUCCUCAUUACUCCUCAUUACAUUAUCAUAAUUGAGAGUUGACUAAUUGAAACCAUAGGUGCAGUUUUAGAGCAAGACAUACUUUUUUUUUCCUGCAAUAAUACACAACUCUCCCUUCCUUAUGAGGAAACCAUUGUAAAUUCACAGCCAGUGCUCUUCAGUAGACAUCUUUUAAAUAUUGAACACACGCCACAAUUCAGAGGUAGACUCAAUGGCCUGGUAUGUACAGGAAUUAUGAUUUUCAUCCCCUUCAGCUCCAUGUCACCCAAAAUAUUGGGAUUCACAAACAGACUAGACACAAUACCACAUCAGGAACGCAUAAUGCAGGCGGUACAAUGGAGUAGGUGCAUCUACCUUUGCACCUCAUGUAAUUUUUCGCUCUGCCAGGGGAUGGGUAAGAGCAUUUCAACAUAUGCCACAGUAGUGCUAAUUGCUGCUCUAAUGCAUGGUAGUUACCUUUUUUUCAAUAGCUGUUCUACAGCACAGAAAACAGAGUUGAAAGUGCUCCAUCCUUUCAGGCACAGAUGCUCCCAACCCUCCCCCAGCAGACUUAAAGGCUGUGGUUUGGGAAGGCCAUGGGAGAACCUGGCUUAAGGGGUUUGUUCCACUGCCUUUGAAGCCGAAGAGCUACUGCACAAUGUCCCACUACAAACCUGCCCUAGCACAAUGUGCAUAAAUAAAGGCAAUUACAAUUGUAUAAAUAUUUUUAAUGUGAAGUUUUCAUCUCAUUAUGCCAAAUAGAAAACAGAAAAAAAUAGGCAUAUUUCUUUAAGAUCUUUCAAAUUUAAUACUUCUGUGUAUAUGCCACAUUACUUGCCUGCUACAAAACCAUCUACCCACACUUCGAUAUAAAGAUAUAUUUUAAAAAUAAGUAGCACAUUAGUGACUUGCAAAUCCAAAAAUAGUAACCUACCAGCAUAAUGGUAUUAGGAGAGGGGUCAAUAAAUACACCUCAGAUAUAUCCUUUUUUUCUGUAUUAAAAAUGUAAAUGAGACAUAGACAGAGAUAGGCCAUGGUUACUUGCACACUUUUACCAUCAGCAGUGUUAGGGCAAGUAAUUUACAACCUUCACCUCCCCAAGUUGCUCAUUAAUAACCCUAUACUACUGCCUAUUUUAAAGGAUGACUGCUUAUGAGAUAGCAAGGAGAUAGGGUAAAAAUAAUACAGAUUAUUUUUUUCUUUUCUUCAGUUCCUUGCUUCAACUCUGAGUGCAGCCCAACAGACCAUACAGCUAGACCAAGUGAGCGCAUAGGGUUUCUUUCGAGUGUGAAGUCACUCUCAUGGAUUCAUGCAACCUUGAGCAUUUAUGAAUUACUUGACCUGCGCAUCUCCAUUUUUUUCAGCUAGGCGAAGUCUACUUGUUUCAGCCGCCCCACGCAUUUCUGCCUUUGGUGUGUCCCUCCCUGCUGGCUGGAGCAGGUCAGGCUUCCAGCCUCCUGAGGGGUGAAAUCGCAUCCUGCUCCUCACAACCCAUUCGCCACAUGUGAGAUAAAAAACACUAUUAUAUUAACACACACAAGAUGAGUGAAUACAGCCCAUCUCUAGCUCUGAAGUGACAGCAAACGAAUAUGGAGAUGAAUGCUCAUUUGGGGAGAUAAGCAAGCACAGGCACUGGAAUUGGAGUGAGGAAGUGCACUGUGAGAUUUCUUUCACAGUCAGAGAUUUGUGUGCGUAGUUUGUACAGGUACACACCUGGGAUAUAGUCAAAGGCUUAAGUUGGCAGUAACUUUUAUGGACUGCAGUUUAUCUUCAAAAUGUCUGUUUAUAAUGUACAUACUAAGAAAACCUUAAACACUGUAGCAGGGAGUGCUACCAAUAAGGAGUAAGUAAGGUAUAAAACAUUACACUUCUCAACUCAUCUACAGCAUCUGAGUGCUAUUACGUGAUGUAUUUUGGAG